Molecule: unclassified non-coding RNA, 240 nt
Filed under: soil metagenome
Description: partial contains 5.8S ribosomal RNA, internal transcribed spacer 2, and large subunit ribosomal RNA
Source: RNAcentral
AACCUAGCACACCUGCGGUGUGUACCUGCGGAAGGAUCAUUACAGAGUUGCAAGACUCCCUAAACCAUUGUGAACCUACCUUCUACCGUUGCUUCGGCGGGCGGGCCCAGCGCCCCCCCCGGCCCCCCGCGGGCGCCCGCCGGAGGAUACCCAAACUCUUGACAUUAGUGGCCUCUCUGAGUAUUCUUUACUGAAUAAGUCAAAACUUUCAGCAACGGAUCUCAGAUCGGAAGAGCACAC